Molecule: transfer RNA, 77 nt
Filed under: Burkholderiales bacterium
Lineage: Bacteria; Pseudomonadati; Pseudomonadota; Betaproteobacteria; Burkholderiales
Also listed under: 2 other names
Description: tRNA-Arg
Rfam family: tRNA
About the family: Transfer RNA (tRNA) molecules are approximately 80 nucleotides in length.
Source: RNAcentral
CCGACGGUAGCUCAACCGGAUAGAGCAGCUGCCUUCUAAGCAGCAGGUCGGGGGUUCGAGUCCCUCCCGUCGGGCCA